AGAGUUUGAUCAUGGCUCAGAUUGAACGCUGGCGGCAUGCUUUACACAUGCAAGUCGAACGGCAGCACAGGGAGCUUGCUCCCGGGUGGCGAGUGGCGCACGGGUGAGUAAUACAUCGGAACGUGUCCUGUUGUGGGGGAUAACUGCUCGAAAGGGUGGCUAAUACCGCAUGACACCUGAGGGUGAAAGCGGGGGAUCGCAAGACCUCGCGCAACUGGAGCGGCCGAUGCCCGAUUAGCUAGUUGGUGAGGUAAAGGCUCACCAAGGCGACGAUCGGUAGCUGGUCUGAGGGGACGACCAGCCACACUGGGACUGGGACACGGCCCAGGCUCCGUACGGGAGGCA
RNAcentral lists this ribosomal RNA (345 nucleotides) under uncultured bacterium. Its description in RNAcentral is "bacterial SSU rRNA". It matches the Rfam family "Bacterial small subunit ribosomal RNA", at positions 8 to 350 of the family's 1533-position model. The record is from RNAcentral.